GCUCCCAGACACGUGCCACUCCUGAAUGCAUCUGAUAAACUCACUCACACUGAGGCCUUGGGGACUGAGGGCCUGGCGGAUCGCGGGUGCCCAGGCGCUUGGAGGCCGCCUCCUCCGGGAAGCCCGCCCAGGUUCUGCUGCACUCGCACAGGCAAUACCGCUGGGCCUUCCUGGCUGCCCCUGUUGGCCCCAAUCCCCCCACCCCCUGCAAGGUCUGUGCCUCUCCUGCAGCCCCGCCACCAACUAGGGCUAGAGGAGCUCGCCCCCACCCAAACGUAUUGGUGUGAUGAAGGAAGGGCCCGUGGUUCUGCCACUCGCCCUGGACACCCAGCGCUGGCUCCCCGUGGAAGUCCCCCUGGACUGAGUAGAGGCUGGGUGGCCUAGUGGUUUGCGACCUGGGGCCUCUGACUUCUAUCAUGUUGGGAAAGUCAUUGAACCUCACUGGUGAAACGGGCACAGUGAAGUCAUUUCCCCGAAGUCUCAGGACUGUGUGUAAGGCUCCAGACAGGGGCUGUGGGGUCCUAAGGGCACCUUGGGAACUGCAGGAGCCCAUCCUGCCUCCACAAGACACUCACUCCUGGCAGGGUCCCCUCUCCGGGCAGAGCCCAGAUUCGCCACCAUCAUCCCUCUCCAUCAGUGGCUCCGUGCCCCUCACAGAGAAUUCAUCAUUCUGUUCAGAAUCCCCAGGACUCCCUGGAGGAGGAGGUCCUAGCCCUGCCUCCCCAGUUCCAGGACCUCCUCACGUGGCUCCUACCUACCAGUGCAGAAGCGGCACUAACCCCGGUGGUCAAUCAGGGAGCACCACCAAGCUUCUCAUUGGUCCAGGGAUGAGCAGCGAUGCCUCAAGCUAAGCCAAUCAAAGCCUUCCCUGGGAUUUUCUCAGGAAGUCCGCGGUGAGAUUCUGGGUCUCAGUACUGGGAAAGGGUGAGGCUGAGGCUGCCUGCUGUCUUGGGGGCCUCACCCUGCUACCAACAGGAAGCCACACACGGGGAAGCAGAAAUGAGACGGAGCCAGUGAGGGCAGGGGACAAAGGUGAGAUCCCAGAGAGACAGAUGCUGGGACAUCAUCCUUGGGUACUGGAUGCAACAGUGCCUGCAGACGGAGCCGCCCUCGGACAGUCCACAAUAGCAGCCAAUCCAUUCUGUGCGUGUCUGAGCUACUUUAAGUCGGGUUUUUGACUGUUGGAAUGAGAGUCCCAUCUUGGCUAGGCACCAUGGCACAACCAGCUGGGGAGGUGGAGGUAGGAAGAUUGCUUGAGGCCAAAAGUCCCAGAGCAGCCUGGGCAACCUAUCAAGACGCUGUCUUUACAAAAAGAAAAAACAAAAACAAAAACAAAACUAGCUAGAUGUGGUGGUGUGUGCCUGUGGCCCCAGCAACUGGGGAGGCUAAGGUGGGAGGAUCGCUUGAGCCCAGGAGGUGGAGGCUGCAGUGAACUACGAUGGCACCUCUGUACUCCAGCCUGGGUGACAGAGCAAGACCCUAUCU
Non-coding RNA from Macaca mulatta (Rhesus monkey), 1485 nucleotides. The record is from RefSeq and is a predicted model, not a curated record. Lineage: Eukaryota; Metazoa; Chordata; Mammalia; Primates; Cercopithecidae.